AGGAUUUAUGCUGGUGACUUUAGGAUGCUG
RNAcentral lists this non-coding RNA (30 nucleotides) under Cricetulus griseus (Chinese hamster). Lineage: Eukaryota; Metazoa; Chordata; Mammalia; Rodentia; Cricetidae. The record is from RNAcentral.